Molecule: long non-coding RNA, 1777 nt
Organism: Rhopalosiphum padi (bird cherry-oat aphid)
Lineage: Eukaryota; Metazoa; Arthropoda; Insecta; Hemiptera; Aphididae
Exons: 6
Source: RefSeq, a predicted model, not a curated record
AUUAUUAUAAGACGUAUUGCGUUUAAGUAAAAUAUUGUACCUAUUGUAAAAGUUCAAUUUAAGAUUUUUUCUAAGGCAACACUGAGGUAUGCAUUCAAUAUAACGGACCAUUUUAUCAGCAGCUCUCCAAAGUCCAUAAGAAUAAUGUAAUUUUUUGAGAGGUGACCAUUUCUGAUUUCAUCUAUUCUGUGGUUAUAUUUUUACUCUGUAGUCUAUAAAUUAAUCAUAGAUGUUUAUAUUAUACAUAGUACAAUAUAGACAUCUGUGAAAUUAAUAGAUUAUAAUAUACGUGGUCGAAAACUUUGAAGCACUACAGGUAGCACCGUUCACAUGAAUCGCUGCCUAUCCGGUAGAAGAUAAGAAAUAUUAGUAUUUGUAUUGAUUUGUGAUUAGUAAUUACUGAUUACUGACUAGUGAGUACUAGGCUGUCUGGGCGUUAAUCAUUGGCCUGUGGAGCGUGAGUCCGUGAUUGUUACGUGACACUUAUUUCCGGCUAUUGCCUGAAGGCUCUCCUAGUCUCCUUGUUCAACUCCAUGUGCUUGACUGGAAAACGGCGUCAAAAACACACGAUUGUCAAUCAUUCAAUUACAUCUUCAACAUUGCUUUACACACAUACCUUCGACCGAUAGUCGCAUAAUAAAUAUCUGUGAAUAUAGCAACAAUUUUGACUCCAGUAAUGUUCAACCAUGUGUACCGCGACGGUAUGAAAUUAUUAUCCGUUGAAUUAUAAGUAUACACAAAUAUAUACCAAUGGUUCUAUGUAUGCCAGACUUCAACAUUUUAACACUACCAAAUACAUAAAAGCAAUCAUAACUCAGAUAAUUUGGAUAAACUAUCUCCCGAGUGAUCAAUUAUAAAAAAAUAUCAUAGUUAAAGAUAGUUUACCUUAAAGUAACAUUAUUAAGUCAGAUGAUAUUGAUGUGAUGAUGAUGAAGUAGACUGAAGUACUCUGCAAAUAAAAUCCCAUUUUACGUCAAGUGUAUGCUGACUAUCACAAAAUGCAUAACUGUCUUUAUAGUACAAAUCAGUGUCAUAAUAUCACUAAUUUUUAAGACACUUAAUCUAGAUUUUAAAGCCCUAACAAUAUUAAUGGAAAAUAAUUUCAAUGAUAAUUUGAUAGUUCUUGCAAAUAAUACAAUAACUGUUAUAGGUGAUCAUAUUCAAGUGCACAAGUCAUCUGUUUGCAAAAUUAUUAAACGUGUGUCAAAAUGUAUAGCUUGCCUUUGUCCUUUGUUCAUAAAUAUGCUCAAAAUUCAAAAUGAAAUGCAAGAAGUUCAAAUUGGAUUUUAUCGACACAACCAAUUCCUUAAAGUAAUUGAUGCAAUGGAUUGCUUACAUAUUAGAAUUCAAUCUCCUAAUAGCAAUUUAGGAAAACAAUUUAGAAAUAGAAAAGCCUACUUCUCCUUUAAUGUUUAAGCUGUAUGUAAUAGCAAACUGCAAAAUGGAGAUUAUGAACAUUGUAGUUAGAUAGCCAGGAUCUGUACAUCACAGUACUAUUUUCGAUAAUAGCUUAUUACGUGCAUAGUUCGAAAACAAUGAAUAUAAAGAAUAUUUUCUUCUCGGAGAUGGUGGAUUUCCCUGCAGAAAAUAUUUAAUGACUCCACUGUUAUAUCCUACCACAGCUGCAGAAAAAAAGUAUCAAAAAGCCCAAAUCGGAACCAGAAAUGUAAUCGAAAGGGUUUUUGGUGUUUUAAAACGGCAUUUUCCAGUUUUGUCUGUUGGAUUAAUUAAUCAACCAAAAUCAGCAUUGACUACUAUUGUUGCUGUGGCUGUUUUA